UUUUGCUAGAGUGUGUAGAGAUUUUUUGUCUUUUUUUUUCUUGUUGCAGGCACUGAGGUCAAGUGCCUGCUGUUAUGCCUGAGUCCAGUAGUGGUUGAAUCACUGGUGUUGGGCUGUAGGUGAGUAAUAUUCCAGAAACAAGAAGUCUGGCAGCACUGCCCUUCUUUUAGGAGGAUGAGUGCUAGUGUGGACCAGGUGUGAAGACACUGCAGUAUCAUUUCUACCUGGCAUACACGUGUGUGUCAGUCUCCUCUAGCUGCCCUGAUCCAUCUGCUCUUCACAUAUGCUUUCACUUGUCUCCAUGAUCACCUCCAUCAGCCCCACGUAGUCACCCUCAGCGAGAGAGAUGCCAGAGUCAUUAGUGGAUGGGCUUUCUGCUCUUCUUGUCUCUCUCAUAGGAGCGUUACUGCUUCUGUUUGCUGUAUCUCUCGUGCUCCUGGAAGCCUCCGAUGGAUGCUGGUCUGGUGCACUAGCUGCGUCUUCUGAACUCAGACUGGCAUGGAUCUGCAUGUAUCUGUGUUUUCUGUGCACUCAUAUGGAGCACCUUACAGACACAUGCUUUGCUUCCUUGUGGCUUUACAGUUGUAUCCUAGAGACCUUCAUUGGACACUGGAAUGUGUGAAUGGUGGUGGAAGUUUGAUCCAGAACACACUACGUGGGUGUCUCCUACGACUACACCUAGAUGUGAGUCAGAUGGUUCCUCCCAGUCCCAAUUUUGUGAAAGACAUUAUAUUCUUUAGCCUCUGCUGCAUGUGGCAUCACCGAUGUGUCAACAGGCCAUGAAAAAUUCUACUCUGUCACCAGUUGGAAAGUGGCAGUGGGGGUAUUUCCCAUCAAAAUGAAUGUAAUAUCCCCAGGGACAGGCAUGGCUCACUGUCUGGACAUCCCACCUCAACAUUUCGGCUCCUUGCCUGACCUCUUAAAUCCCUGCAGUUACACCUGGAGGACUGCAUGAGGAUCUCAGUUGCCUACUGUCACUCACAUUCAGGAUGCCUUGGAGCAGCACGCUGUCCCGGAUCCUCCCCUCAUUCCUUGCUUUCACAGCCAGAUUGGAGAACCACACGCAUGGGAUCCAAAACUUGUUGUGGGGAGAAUUCAAGCUCUCAAACUUCUUGUGCUCUUCAGGUGUCAUGAGGCCUAAGUGGAAAAGAACAGAUGAGAAAGGAAUGGCCAUAGAGAGCAGAAGGUAGUCACCUUAUCUCUUAUAAUUACAGGAAAGACUUGGGCAUUUAGCCUUUGGAUGCAGAAAAGGAUGGCAAGUUUUGUUAAAAUACUGAUUUUUAAAUGGAUGCAAGAAGAAUUUC
Long non-coding RNA from Lagopus leucura (white-tailed ptarmigan), 1304 nucleotides. RefSeq lists it as uncharacterized. The transcript is spliced from 3 exons. The record is from RefSeq and is a predicted model, not a curated record. Lineage: Eukaryota; Metazoa; Chordata; Aves; Galliformes; Phasianidae.